This 334-nucleotide long non-coding RNA is filed under the name Mytilus galloprovincialis (Mediterranean mussel). Lineage: Eukaryota; Metazoa; Mollusca; Bivalvia; Mytilida; Mytilidae. The record is from RNAcentral.
GUUGGCGCCAUGAUUUAGGGGCAUAAAGAGUUACACUAGUCCGUCUGUCCCGAACGUCCCAUAAAAACGGGUUACACUCUUCUUACUUUAAUUUGCCUCAACCAAAUACUAAAAAACUUAUACACAAUAUAUAAAAGAAGCUGGUGCAUGAGUGCCAAUGAGAACUCUCCACAAGAGACUAAAUGACACAGAAAUUAACAAUUAUACAAUGUAGCCUAGGUCACCACACGGUCUUCAACAAUGAGCAAGGUUCAUACCGCAAAGUCAGCUAUUAAAGGCACCGACAUGACAAUGUAAAACAAUUCAAACGAGAAAACAAACGGUCUAAUUUAUG